CUGAGUACGGCGGAACACGUGAAAUUCCGUCGGAAUCCGGGAGGACCAUCUCCCAAGGCUAAAUACUCCCUAGUGACCGAUAGUGAACCAGUACCGUGAGGGAAAGGUGAAAAGCACCCCGGAAGGGGAGUGAAACAGUUCCUGAAACCGUGUGCCUACAAGUAGUUAGAGCCCGUUAAUGGGUGAUAGCGUGCCUUUUGUAGAAUGAACCGGCGAGUUACGAUUUGUUGCAAGGUUAAGCGGAAAAAGCGGAGCCGUAGCGAAAGCGAGUCUGAAUAGGGCGCAUAAGUAACAGGUCGUAGACCCGAAACCAGGUGAUCUACCCAUGUCCAGGAUGAAGGUAAGGUAAUACUUACUGGAGGUCCGAACCCACGCACGUUGAAAAGUGCGGGGAUGAGGUGUGGGUAGCGGAGAAAUUCCAAUCGAACUUGGAGAUAGCUGGUUCUCUCCGAAAUAGCUUUAGGGCUAGCCUCGAGGUAAAGAGUCAUGGAGGUAGAGCACUGUUUGGACUAGGGGCCCUUCUCGGGUUACCGAAUUCAGAUAAACUCCGAAUGCCAUGUACUUAUACUCGGGAGUCAGACUGCGAGUGAUAAGAUCCGUAGUCGAAAGGGAAACAGCCCAGACCACCAGUUAAGGUCCCCAAAUAUAUGUUAAGUGGAAAAGGAUGUGGGGUUGCUUAGACAACCAGGAUGUUGGCUUAGAAGCAGCCACCAUUGAAAGAGUGCGUAAUAGCUCACUGGUCGAGUGACCCCGCGCCGAAAAUGUACCGGGGCUAAACAUAUUACCGAAACUGUGGAUGAACCUCUUUAGAGGUUCGUGGUAGGAGAGCGUUCUAAGGGCGGUGAAGUCAGACCGGAAGGACUGGUGGAGCGCUUAGAAGUGAGAAUGCCGGUAUGAGUAGCGAAAGAAGGGUGAGAAUCCCUUCCACCGAAUAUCUAAGGUUUCCUGAGGAAGGCUCGUCCGCUCAGGGUUAGUCGGGACCUAAGCCGAGGCCGAUAGGCGUAGGCGAUGGACAACAGGUAGAGAUUCCUGUACCAGUGCUAAUUGUUUAACCGAUGGGGUGACACAGAAGGAUAGGGAAUCGCACGAAUGGAAAUGUGCGUCCAAGCAGUGAGUGUGAGAAGUAGGCAAAUCCGCUUCUCGCGAAGCAUGAGCUGUGAUGGGGAAGGAAAUUAAGUACGGAAGUUCCUGAUUUCACGCUGUCAAGAAAAGCCUCUAGGAAGAGUAGUACUGCCCGU
RNAcentral lists this ribosomal RNA (1238 nucleotides) under Listeria monocytogenes. RNAcentral's name for it is "partial 23S ribosomal RNA". It matches the Rfam family "Bacterial large subunit ribosomal RNA", at positions 408 to 1645 of the family's 2925-position model. Lineage: Bacteria; Bacillati; Bacillota; Bacilli; Caryophanales; Listeriaceae. The record is from RNAcentral.